CGGGGUCAGCAGCGCACAGCAGGGCAGGCAGAAAAGAAGGGUCUCGUGCUUGGCAAAUGUAGUAAUGGCCAUAUCAAAGUGAGGCAGUGACAAUGACUCUCCUAAAAUGCCACCUGCCACCAGAAGGACCUAUGACCUCCUGAGACAUCCAAAGGUGAUUCAUCCAAUUCCAGCAUUUGCAAAUCAGGUUGCUUCCCUCUUCAGCAAAGCACAUCAUCCAGCAGGAGGGAAAGCUUUUAUGCUUUGACAGCAUACUGGAGAAGAACUCUCCCGGGAAUAUGCACUAUAUCUACUCUGGAGAUGCAAGACAACUAGCAAAUUACCAAGGUUAUUAGUGAAUACCCUAUUAAUAAAUUUCCCUGACAGAAAUGCUCAGGCAAGAUACUCAGAAAUUCAUGUUCCUUUAAUAAAAAUAAAUGUAAUAACA
Passer domesticus (house sparrow) is the source of this 427-nucleotide long non-coding RNA. RefSeq lists it as uncharacterized. The record is from RefSeq and is a predicted model, not a curated record. The transcript has 3 exons. NCBI's taxonomy places the organism in Eukaryota, Metazoa, Chordata, Aves, Passeriformes, Passeridae.